RNAcentral lists this ribosomal RNA (250 nucleotides) under uncultured Chroococcidiopsis sp. RNAcentral's name for it is "partial 16S ribosomal RNA". It matches the Rfam family "Bacterial small subunit ribosomal RNA", at positions 796 to 1044 of the family's 1533-position model. Lineage: Bacteria; Bacillati; Cyanobacteriota; Cyanophyceae; Chroococcidiopsidales; Chroococcidiopsidaceae. The record is from RNAcentral.
CUAGCCGUAAACGAUGGAUACUAGGCGUUGAGAGGAUCGACCCUCGCAGUGCCGUAGCUAACGCGUUAAGUAUCCCGCCUGGGGAGUACGCGCGCAAGCGUGAAACUCAAAGGAAUUGACGGGGGCCCGCACAAGCGGUGGAGUAUGUGGUUUAAUUCGAUGCAACGCGAAGAACCUUACCAGGGCUUGACAUGUCCGGAACCCUGCCCAAAGGUGGGGGUGCCUACGGGAGCCGGAACCCAGGUGGUGC